This 497-nucleotide ribosomal RNA is filed under the name uncultured bacterium. RNAcentral describes it as "partial 16S ribosomal RNA". It matches the Rfam family "Bacterial small subunit ribosomal RNA", at positions 28 to 507 of the family's 1533-position model. The record is from RNAcentral.
GAUGAACGCUGGCGGCGUGCCUAAUACAUGCAAGUCGAGCGAACAGACGAGGAGCUUGCUCCUCUGACGUUAGCGGCGGACGGGUGAGUAACACGUGGAUAACCUACCUAUAAGACUGGGAUAACUUCGGGAAACCGGAUCUAAUACCGGAUAAUAUAUUGAACCGCAUGGUUCAAUAGUGAAAGACGGUUUUGCUGUCACUUAUAGAUGGAUCCGCGCCGCAUUAGCUAGUUGGUAAGGUAACGGCUUACCAAGGCGACGAUGCGUAGCCGACCUGAGAGGGUGAUCGGCCACACUGGAACUGAGACACGGUCCAGACUCCUACGGGAGGCGGCAGUAGGGAAUCUUCCGCAAUGGGCGAAAGCCUGACGGAGCAACGCCGCGUGAGUGAUGAAGGUCUUCGGAUCGUAAAACUCUGUUAUUAGGGAAGAACAAAUGUGUAAGUAACUAUGCACGUCUUGACGGUACCUAAUCAGAAAGCCACGGCUAACUACGUG